AUUGAACGCUGGCGGCAGGCUUAACACAUGCAAGUCGAGCGGGGUGAUGGUGCUUGCACUAUCACUUAGCGGCGGACGGGUGAGUAAUGCUUAGGAAUCUGCCUAUUAGUGGGGGACAACAUCUCGAAAGGGAUGCUAAUACCGCAUACGUCCUACGAAAGAAAGCAGGGGAUCACUUGUGACCUUGCGCUAAUAGAUGAGCCUAAGUCGGAUUAGCUAGUUGGUGGGGUGAAGGCCUACCAAGGCGACGAUCUGUAGCGGGUCUGAGAGGAUGAUCCGCCACACUGGGACUGAGACACGGCCCAGACUCCUACGGGAGGCAGCAGUGGGGAAUAUUGGACAAUGGGGGGAACCCUGAUCCAGCCAUGCCGCGUGUGUGAAGAAGGCCUUAUGGUUGUAAAGCACUUUAAGCGAGGAGGAGGCUCUUUUGGUUAAUACCCAAGAUGAGUGGACGUUACUCGCAGAAUAAGCACCGGCUAACUCUGUGCCAGCCGCCGCGGUAA
This 503-nucleotide ribosomal RNA is filed under the name uncultured bacterium. RNAcentral's name for it is "partial 16S ribosomal RNA". It matches the Rfam family "Bacterial small subunit ribosomal RNA", at positions 30 to 523 of the family's 1533-position model. The record is from RNAcentral.